UGGCCCUGUAAUGAUGUUCCCUCCAAUGCCUGAAAGGGUACUCAAGGGAGUUUUUAAGCUCCAUUUCUGAGGCCAGAAGACAUGCGAGAUGACUGUGACAUCAGCACCUGUGUCCAUCGUCCCUUGGAUUGAGAUCGUCUUGCUGUUAUAUGUCAAGUUGCAGGUGAUUACAGGUCUAUCAUGACUUAUCUGCUCCACCCAGGUAAUCACAGUGUUCAUUGCCUUUGCUGCUGCUGGCUCUGCAGACCCGACGCCUUUCCGGCACCCUGGUUUUUCAUGAAGAGGCAUCUGACAAAUAUUACAGAGACACAACCUGAGCAGCCUUUCUUGCCACUGCUGCACUUGUCAGCAAUUUUGUGUCCAUAGAACAGAAACCAAAGAAAUAAUAUAAUUCUGCCAGUUAGGGAAGUGGCCUAUGGUUAAACUAAUUACAGCAAUUUUUUUUAAAGCUGCCUCAAGCUUAAAUGCUUCAUGAUACAAU
This 481-nucleotide long non-coding RNA is filed under the name Cyanistes caeruleus (blue tit). RNAcentral describes it as "lncRNA (ENSCCEG00000022781.1)". Lineage: Eukaryota; Metazoa; Chordata; Aves; Passeriformes; Paridae. The record is from RNAcentral.